CCGGCUAACUCCGUGCAGCAGCCGCGGUAAUACGGAGGGUGCGAGCGUUAAUCGGAAUUACUGGGCGUAAAGCGCAUGCAGGCGGCCUGUUAAGUCAGAUGUGAAAGCCCGGGGCUUAACCUCGGAAUUGCAUUUGAAACUGGCAGGCUAGAGUCUUGUAGAGGGGGGUAGAAUUUCAGGUGUAGCGGUGAAAUGCGUAGAGAUCUGAAGGAAUACCAGUGGCGAAGGCGGCCCCCUGGACAAAGACUGACGCUCAGAUGCGAAAGCGUGGGGAGCAAACAGGAUUAGAUACCCUGGUAGUCCACGCCGUAAACGAUGUCUACUUGGAGGUUGUGGCCUUGAGCCGUGGCUUUCGGAGCUAACGCGUUAAGUAGACCGCCUGGGGAGUACGGUCGCAAGAUUAAAACUCAAAUGAAUUGACGGGGGCCCGCACAAGCGGUGGAGCAUGUGGUUUAAUUCGAUGCAACGCGAAGAACCUUACCUACUCUUGACAUCCAGAGAA
This 502-nucleotide ribosomal RNA is filed under the name Photobacterium damselae. Its description in RNAcentral is "bacterial SSU rRNA". It matches the Rfam family "Bacterial small subunit ribosomal RNA", at positions 493 to 995 of the family's 1533-position model. Lineage: Bacteria; Pseudomonadati; Pseudomonadota; Gammaproteobacteria; Vibrionales; Vibrionaceae. The record is from RNAcentral.